This 232-nucleotide ribosomal RNA is filed under the name uncultured bacterium. RNAcentral's name for it is "partial 16S ribosomal RNA". It matches the Rfam family "Bacterial small subunit ribosomal RNA", at positions 99 to 334 of the family's 1533-position model. The record is from RNAcentral.
CGGACGGGUGAGUAAUGUCUGGGAAACUGCCUGAUGGAGGGGGAUAACUACUGGAAACGGUAGCUAAUACCGCAUAACGUCGCAAGACCAAAGAGGGGGACCUUAGGGCCUCCUGCCAUCGGAUGUGCCCAGAUGGGAUUAGCUAGUAGGUGGGGUAACGGCUCACCUAGGCGACGAUCCCUAGCUGGUCUGAGAGGAUGACCAGCCACACUGGAACUGAGACACGGUCCAG